Molecule: ribosomal RNA, 253 nt
Filed under: uncultured bacterium
Lineage: Bacteria
Description: partial 16S ribosomal RNA
Rfam family: Bacterial small subunit ribosomal RNA
Source: RNAcentral
UACAGAGGUCUCAAGCGUUGUUCGGAAUUACUGGGCGUAAAGGGUGCGCAGGCCGCGCGGGCAGUCAAUUGUGUAAUUCAGGGGCUCAACCCCUGGACUGCGCUUGAUACUUCCGUGCUAGAGCUUUGGAGAGGAGUCUGGAAUUCUCGGUGUAGCAGUGAAAUGCGUGGAUAUCGAGAAGAACACUUAGGGCGAAGGCAAGACUCUGGACAAAUGCUGACGCUCAUGCACGAAGGCUAGGGUAGCGAACGGG